This 253-nucleotide ribosomal RNA is filed under the name uncultured bacterium. RNAcentral's name for it is "partial 16S ribosomal RNA". It matches the Rfam family "Bacterial small subunit ribosomal RNA", at positions 524 to 776 of the family's 1533-position model. The record is from RNAcentral.
UACGUAGGGGGCAAGCGUUGUCCGGAUUUAUUGGACGUAAAGAGCGUGUAGGCGGUUAGGUAGGUCCGCUGUGAAAACUCGAGGCUCAACCUCGAGACGCCGAUGGAAACCAUCUGACUAGAGUCCGGAAGAGGAGAGUGGAAUUCCCGGUGUAGCAGUGAAAUGCGUAGAGAUCGGGAGGAACAUCAGUUGCGAAGGCGGCUCUCUGGACCAGUACUGACGCUGAGGCACGAAAGCGUGGGGAGCAAACAGG